Leopardus geoffroyi (Geoffroy's cat) is the source of this 360-nucleotide long non-coding RNA. RefSeq lists it as uncharacterized. The transcript has 3 exons. NCBI's taxonomy places the organism in Eukaryota, Metazoa, Chordata, Mammalia, Carnivora, Felidae. The record is from RefSeq and is a predicted model, not a curated record.
UUGUAUUUUGUGAGAGCUUUUCAAAGGUGAUGUAUUCAACUCUUAAAAAUGUGUAAUAAGAAACAUUGAGUAGUUAUUUCUAAGUAUGAACUAAAAUUAGUGGAGAACAUUGAAUUCCAGCCAACAUGACAUGUGCCUCACACCUCCUGUUCCCAUGCAGGAACCUGGCUCAGAAGAAGAAUUUCACUCCUUGGGAUUUUGAAGAAUGACCACCAUUGAUUUGAGUGUGCAGGAAUGUGUCCAUUGGCACUGUCUGCCUCUUGAGCCUCUUCCAGAUGAUCAUCAUCAGUCCCAGGGAUUCCAGGUUGUUCAGAGAUGGAAAGAGUAAAACAUGGCCUCCCUUCCUGUACCUCCAGAAGG